Molecule: non-coding RNA, 784 nt
Organism: Heterocephalus glaber (naked mole-rat)
Lineage: Eukaryota; Metazoa; Chordata; Mammalia; Rodentia; Bathyergidae
Source: RefSeq, a predicted model, not a curated record
UCAGAAUUGAGAGCCCCGCAUUUUAAACUAGCGGGAUUUAAACACUAAAGUUACAGCAAGGAGCUGUGUGGUCCAUUUGGGGUGGCUGUGAAAGGCAGAGAUGAAUGCGGUACCUAUCUGUUAAAACCAGGGUCACCUCGAUUGCUGAAGAGCCCUGGUUUAACCACAGUUGAGUAACCAUAAUCAUCAACAACUCUCCCUUCGGAAAACAAAUUAUAUAGUCACUGUGUUUCUGACUGACUCGCAUUUCUGCACAAAUUUCACUCUUCAGCAAUUUGCUGAUUGUGCCGGGAAUCCUGCCAUGCAGAGAAAGAAGAGUAAUGAGUAUGAUCCGAGGGUCCUGUGAUUAGGAAAAUUCUGAGCUUGAGCCCCCGUGGAUCUACAGCUGAGAGAAGCCCAGGACUCCAUGGCAGGUGGUUCUCAUGAGACUGUGAAUGCAGCGGAGGUCACUCAGGACCCAAAGUAACACUGAGUUAAGGAGAACGACAUUGCCACCACAUCCCAGUCCCCAUUUUUUGGUUACAAGCGGUUGCAGCAUGACUUCAGCCCUGGGCCCACUGGAACAGCCUUUUCAGGGAGGGCAGUAGCAGUUGAGAAAUAGGCAAAGGGCCUGGUCAGGGCACCUGGAGGGGAAGAACAAUCCAGCCCAUCACUGGGCACAGAAGAGAAAGGACUAUGCAGGCAUGUGCAACACAGAAGCCCUGUCCUGAGGGUGGUACCCGACCUGCGAUUACACCCAGAGGCUGGAGAGCCCCGGGCCUGCUGGCUCUCUUGCCUUGGUACA